Molecule: ribosomal RNA, 468 nt
Filed under: uncultured bacterium
Lineage: Bacteria
Description: partial 16S ribosomal RNA
Rfam family: Bacterial small subunit ribosomal RNA
Source: RNAcentral
GAUGAACGCUGGCGGCGUGCUUAAUACAUGCCAGUCGAACGGAAAGGCGCUGCUUUUGUGGGGUGCUCGUGUGGCGCGCGGGUGUGUAACACGUGUGUAACAUCCCCUUGACUUUGUGAUAACUUCAGGAAACUGGGGCUAAUACCGGAUAGGAGCUCCUGCUGCAUGUUGGGGGAUGGAAAAUUUCGGCGGUUGGGGAUGGACUCGAGGCUUAUCAGCUGGUUGGUGGGGUAGUGGCUUACCAAGGCUUUGACGGGUAGGCGGCCUGAGAGGGGGACCGGGCACAUGACGACUAAGGUACGGACCAGACUCGUACGGGAGGCAGCAGGGGGGAAUAUGGCACAAUGGGGGGAAGCCUGAUGCAGCAACGCCGCGUGCGGGAUGAUGGCCUACGGGUUGAAAACAACUUUCGCAGGUGACGAAGCGUGAGUGACGGUAAUGGGUAAAGAAGCACCGGCUAACUACGUG